UAUCGUGAUGGUAAAUUUACAGCGAUAGUAGUGCUAAGAUCGCUUCGUGGAACGGGCUGGCGAUCGUAGACAAACAUUAAGGUCGUGAUGGUAGGUAUUACAGCGAUAGUAGUGCUAAGAUCGCUUCGUGGAACGGGGCCCAGUAACACAUUUGAAUAAAGUUUGUAUGAAACAAGAGUGUGACAUUGAAACAGGGAAAAUACCCUGAAACAUAGACUAAAAUUUGACUCCAUAACCUUUACUUCUCAGACACAUGUGCAUUUAAAAAAAACAAAAAAACAAAACAUUUUGUGGUAUUAGAAACACCAGGAUGACCAGAAACAUUUCAGUUGUACGGAAAUGGAUAACCUAAACAAUGUAGGCCUAUUAUCUAAGUAAUGUUUGAUUAUAUGAUCAUAAACAGUUCUAAUAGUAAAAAAUAUGCCUUAGUGUUUAAAAACUAGGGUCUGUCACUUUAAAGAAAUGUGGUCAUCUUACAACACUUCUGCGUGGAACUUGUUUUCUGAUUUUACAUUCACUUCUGUACACCCACACAGCUUUAGUAAAGUCUCCAGAUUUUAACUACAUUCUAUUUGUAAGACUGUAUUAAAGCAGUUUGUCUAGCUUUUAAAAAAUUGUUAAAUGUGGGGCCUAUUUGGAUGUCUGGGCUUUAAAAAUAUGUUCUCUUUAUUUAAAGACCAUAAAAAUAAAAGUGUACCAUAUGUAAGAGUUUUUUUGGGGAAAAAAUUCUUUUUAUUUUUUUAUUAAUUUUGUUUUUGGCAAGGCAGCUUGAUGUAUGUUUAGCAAGGUUGUAUUUGAUUAUUCCAUCCAAAUAUUUAUUACUGAAAAGAUGUAUUUGAUCAUUGCUUUUGUGUACAAAGGUGUAUUAAGAGUGAUAGUAACUGUGAUAAUUUACGAGUAAUAAAACAUGUUACAUUAUUUCAUCUACAUCGCAGGGCUCGACCAUAACGGUAGCCCGGGCUGUUUUGGCUACCAAUAUCUCCCCCGGGAUACCAGAAUUCUAAGCCCGGUAGUCCGCCAGGCUACCACUUUUUUUCUGCCUGUUAAGUGACUACAGUUUUCACGACGCUUCGAUGAUCGGGGCUCACACUAGAAAUAAGUUAGUUUUAGCCAUUGUUAAAUAUCUACAUGUAUAGAGUAUUCCUUGAAAAUUAUUGAAAAGUGGCACAUUUUGGCUAAACAAAAUUGUAUUAGCCAAAACUUAUGUUGCAGCCACGUUAUAUACUGAUGUAUCAUUUGGCUAAGUUGGUUAUGGGCAGGGUGAGCCUUGCUCAGUGUUAACAGAGUGAACAAGUCUAUAGUCCGUCCCAUCCUCCUACAAAAAUUAUUUUAGUUUGGUUUGACAUAAGAACAAAGUAAAAGUAUUUUGGAAAUAACAAAAAAAAAAAUUGUGUGCAAGUUACAAAACAAUUAGCUGAGAAAUAACUAACUUGUAGUAUGAAAAAAGGCAUUCUCUGUGGGAUGGACUAUAGAAUAUGACAUUUGUUUUUUAACCAUUGUAUACCGUGUAGAUUUACACACAUCAUCAAAUGGUAAAGCUUGCAUUCAUUAUUUUACAGUCUGUUGUCAAACCAUAUGUUAAUUGUCGACUUUUAGAUGUUGUAUCUCAUAACCGAUACCAGCUAGAAUUUUGUAUUCUGUUUUGCAAUUUGUUGUGGAUUAUCCUGACAGGGUUUAAAACAUUAUUUUCUAAGAAGGAAUGUAGGAAUGUUUAAUGACACCCCAACACAGAAAAAUAAUUGGCUACUGGGUGUCAAAGUUGUCAGGAAUGGAAUAUGUCAUUCACCUAAUACAAAUGCAAAUUUAAGUUAUUUAUUUACCAAAAAGCUGAAUUAAAUUUAAAAUAAGAUAAAUGUAUUAAUGUAUCCCCCAUUGUUAAGUUAAAAGCUGAGAACUUCCAACUGAUUGCUCUUAGAAUUCAUUUGGAACACCUCAGCCUCUGAUACAUUUAAACAUUUAUUUGAGAUACUGUAAAUCAUAAAAUAUUAGCGAUCUUAAAAUUUAACGAAAUCCAAAUAAGUGAUAUUAACAACAUAAAAUGUUAGCUAGAUCGUCAUAUCAGAAACUGAAAAAAGAAAACGCUCAAGCUGUAGGAUCAGGUUAAAUAAUACUGUUGAUCUAUUUUAACGUUAUGCAGCUUACAGACAGCUGAAUUGAAGUAGUAAAUUGCAGAAUGUGCAUGCUAAUUAACUAUUGUUUGCUAUCCAUUGUUGUGUGUUCAGUUACAUGUAAUUGCCAGCAAUUUAAACAAACAUCUUUUGGAACAGUCUGUUGUACGUCUCUUUAAAUUUAGCGUCACGAAAUAUUAGCGUCUUGUAUGGCCUCUCUAAAUUCGCUAAAGUUUUGUGCUUGCUAACAUUUCCUGAUUUACAGUAUCAGAUAUAUGGAAACACAUUUCUUUAUACAUGUAUAUCUUUAUUGUUAUAUUUUAUUUGACCAAUUGAAAUCUGAAUUUGGCUAAAGAUUUUUUUACCACGUUCACCAUUUAGCCAAUAGGUUUUGUGCCCCAACUGGAACAUUGCACGUGCUGUCAAAAUGAUGUUUACAAAUUAUUUUGACCUUCUUGCUUAAUCCCUCCACCACAAUGGCAAAUAGAAUAGUACUGCUGGAUUCAAAAUGCAAAAUUGUGUGAUUUGUUUGUUUGUUAAAUAUUCUUUUUUGCAGUUGUGAAAUAUUUUUAAUUUUGUGUGCAUGAACCAUUUGUUGUGUCCUAACCUAUACAAUCUUCUGCAGAGUAUGAAUUUGUAAUCACCACUGUCCAUUUUAUUUAUUGUACCUUUUUAUAGCAGCGAAUAAAUAUUUUUAUGACAAAGA
This 2814-nucleotide long non-coding RNA is filed under the name Gigantopelta aegis. RNAcentral describes it as "uncharacterized LOC121388247". The record is from RNAcentral. Lineage: Eukaryota; Metazoa; Mollusca; Gastropoda; Neomphalida; Peltospiridae.